Molecule: unclassified non-coding RNA, 282 nt
Filed under: fungal sp.
Lineage: Eukaryota; Fungi
Description: partial internal transcribed spacer region
Rfam family: Eukaryotic small subunit ribosomal RNA (bases 1-46)
Source: RNAcentral
AAGUCGUAACAAGGUUUCCGUAGGUGAACCUGCGGAAGGAUCAUUAACACUUUUAUCCACGUGUUCAAACAUCCGUUUGGACAUAAACCCCCUUAUAGCGAACUAGUCGGGUGGCUUUGGGCUCGCAAGAGUCUCAAGUCAUUCCGUCAUUUUUUUCUCUUUUUCUUUUAUUCACUUUUAAACCCAAUUGAACUUUCUAGACUGAAACUUUGUUGUAGGUGAAAGCUUACAUCGAAAAAAUAAAAUUCUAAACAACUCUUAACAACGGAUAUCUUGGUUCUC